CCUACGGGAGGCAGCAGUGGGGAAUAUUUGGCAAUGGACGCAAGUCUGACCCAGCAACGCCGCGUGAAGGAAGAAGGCUUUCGGGUUGUAAACUUCUUUUAAUGGGGAAGCGCAUAAGACGGUACCCCUUGAAUAAGCCACGGCUAACUACGUGCCAGCAGCCGCUGUAAUACGUAGGUGGCAAGCGGUGUCCGGAUUUACUGGGUGUAAAGGGCGUGCAGCCGGAGAGACAAGUCAGAUGUGAAAGCCACGGGCUCAACCCGUGAACUGCAUUUGAAACUGUUUCCCUUGAGUGGCGGAGAGGUAAGCGGAAUUCCUAGUGUAGCGGUGAAAUGCGUAGAUAUUAGGAAGAACACCAGUGGCGAAGGCGGAUUACUGGACGAUAACUGACGGUGAGGCGCGAAAGCGUGGGGAGCAAACAGGAUUAGAUACCCUAGUAGUC
Molecule: ribosomal RNA, 442 nt
Filed under: uncultured bacterium
Lineage: Bacteria
Description: partial 16S ribosomal RNA
Rfam family: Bacterial small subunit ribosomal RNA
Source: RNAcentral